CAACUAGUAUUCCUGAGCUGUACACUGGAUUGAUCAUUAAUGAGGUAUUAAAUGGUGCAGCAGGCACGUGAUAUUGGAAAAUCUUAUCAGAGUAAUUCCUGUUUAUUGUCCUUAAGCGGAGCCAAAAAUACCACAAAGCCCCAUUUAACUCGCGUUUCCAAAGAUCAUCAAAGUUCAUCAGCUUUUGUCGUUCUCCUCGCGUACCGAGUGCCAAAGCUACUUCGGUUUUCUAGAAAGUAGUACUUUGUAAUUACAUGUUCCUCUGAAAAAUGCAGAAUUUCAGAUGCACUGAAAGGAGAAAGCAACUAAACUACGCUCCUUGCCUGAAAACGACCAGGGAACUACGAAGUUAAAAACGCGAGCGAGGUAGGUUAGAGGUGCAAGAUGUUUUCACCAGCUGCGAAACUCGGCCACCACCGACCAGACGACCAGGGGCUCGCUGCGGGAGGUGGCUUUCCUAACUGACCAGUCCUCAGCCGCUACGAAAUAAAGAGGCGAGGGGAGGCCGGGGCAGCCGCCGGCACGCAAACCUUCCAGCCAGCUCCCGGCGGCGGGUGGCAACCAGCUCCGCGGGUCCGGCCGGCCUCCCGCCCCCCGGCCGGGGCUCCGUGCGCCGGGGGGGUGGGGUACAGAGAACCGCGGGAGGCGAAGUCGACUGAUACUAGCGGUAAUUUUUAUGCGGUGGUUUUAGUGCUAUUAGUAGUAUUUGAGCCGGGAUUUCUGCCUUCUGAGCAAUACUGACAAAAUCUUGAUUCAGCAUUAUGACUGUGCACUUUUCUUCCGGAAUAAGGAAUUAUUAAGAACAUAGCAAAACGGUAGUUCUCUAUAUUCAACACAUUUCUCCAGGCAGAGAACGACUUUGGAUCUAUCUAGCCCAGACCUCCUUCGAGCAUAACUCGGCAGUAGUCUUUACAUGCUGUUUGGAUGACUCACAUGCACAUAGUCUAAGAACAACCCAUCCAGAACUCUUUGAACAAGAACUUUUCCAACAGUGUUUAUGUCCUGAAAGAAAAUAUUUUAUUGACUUUCAAGAUAGUAAUUAAUGUGUUAAUAGAUUUAAUUUUGACUGUUUGGGUUACUAGUUAACAAAAUACUGGUUUCAGUGGGUUUACAUCCAUGUUUAAAGUUUAGUGCCUAACUUUCUACUCUUUAGUGGUAAACACUGUGACAUAAAGCAAGAGAAAUCAUUAUGAAACUUGAAAUAAAUGAGAAUGUCAAAUGCAGAAACAAAUCCAGUGAUUAUGCAAAACCCAACAAUGCUAAUGCUAUUUAUUAGAGUCCAGUUUGGUGAUGUAUGUGGUACUGUGUAUAGAAAUAGUCAAGUCUUAGCUAUACUUUAUGAAGCUGUAUAUGUGUGAGCUAUCAUUAAAAUGCUAUCAUACAUAGGUCUAUUCCUGCUAUGUGCAUGCAUUAUAGGUUCAAAUUAUUAAGAUGGUUCUUCACUCCUGCCCUCCAUUUGGAUGUAAUUUUCUUUAGUGCUUUUGCCUCAUUAAAAAAAAAAAAAAAUCUUUCUUUUUUUUCUGGAUGAGUAUUAAACAUAAAUAUAGGAAAGCAUUAACUGAUAUUCUUGAGAAAUUCAAAUAGCAUGUGUUGUGCUGCAUUUUUUAUUUCACAGCCCACUCAGACAGCAAACAGCUGCAGCACCUUUCAGAAGUACAACUGUGUCAUAUUAGGUUCUUAUAGAAUAAAAAUGGCUUGUGGAAACAACUUUCAUUUAAAGUACAUAGGUUUACAUUUGAGGAUCUCCAGGUCAUUUAUAAACAUGAGUCAGAUGCCUAAUACCUGUUAAGAAAUGAGGUAACAGAGUGGCUUUCCCUUGUCCCACCAUUAGACAACAACAGAACUGAGGACAGAAUCCGUAAAUUGGCACCUUUGAGUACCAGACUAUGCUGCUUCUGUACACACCUGCCACACUUCCUGACUUUGUGGUGCAGUUCUUUGCUCAGUUCUUCUCAUGAAUUCUUGAUUAUAAAAAGUGUAAAAGAAGACACACAUAAAGAAAUCAAGUCCAGUGGUUUGCAAAUACCAUUAUUCACUAUGUAGUCUUCAUAAUGGAGUGUAAGUCCAAGUUGAAGAAGGCUUAUAAAAUUUCUGCUGAAAUAGCUCGGAUCUCUCCCAGGUGUUAAUCAACAAAUUGGACAACACUGUAAAUAAAUGGAAGGGAGUAUUCAGUUUUCAUCUUGGAGGUCUUACAGAAGAAAUAUUAUCAGUGUUUAAAAAAACCCAGACAUGUGAAAUAAGUGUAUCUGUUAUGGUCAAAUGGCAUCUUGGAGCAAGACAAAUACUGCUAGGUACAGUGCACUUUCAGAUCAACUGUCAAUUAUGCUAAUCCCUACUGUGUAAUUCAUGUCUGCAGACAUCCCAAGGACUGUCAACCUAUCUAGAUCUGAUGAUUAAUAUAUUCCCUUCUACUAGUUACAAGAGAACAGUGAUGCAAAAGCAUUUGUUUCAUCCAAUACGAAAUUUGUUUAUCAUCCAAACAACUUGUGUAUCCAUUUGUUUAACAUUCAAACAAAUUAAUAACAAAUAAUCCAUUUGUUUACCAUCCAAGCCACUGUUUGGAAGAUAAAGUGCUACAAGAAACAUACAGGCUUUCUCUGGUCAUCAAUAACAAAUUAAUUCAUCUGUGUGCCUACAACAGAAGUGCUUAAAACACUUCAUCAAAAGAAAAACUGAAUUACUUGCUGUGGGUUCUCUGUAAUAUAAAAGUUGAAGUUGCUGCAACAUUUAUUUCUUCAAGCAGUAUGAUGAGAACACUGUGUGUAUGCUAAAAAGAUGAUUAUCAUGGAAUAUACCAUGUGUGAAUAUACUACGUGU
Molecule: long non-coding RNA, 2817 nt
Organism: Athene cunicularia (burrowing owl)
Lineage: Eukaryota; Metazoa; Chordata; Aves; Strigiformes; Strigidae
Exons: 3
Source: RefSeq, a predicted model, not a curated record